CCCCACGUUUUUCUCACAAUAAUGCAGGAAUUAUUUUUCACUUUUUAGUUUGAUAUGUUUUAAAAGCGUGUUUUUUAGUUUUCUUAAACUAUAUUUAUUUUUAAUUUAUUAGUUUGAUGUGAGAUACCCCAAAUUUGUUAAAAUAUGAACUAUGACAUGUAGUAGAUAUGGGUUAAGUAAAUCGAUAAUUAGACAGCAUUUAAUAUCUACUCGUAACCUUUCAUUGAAUAAUUGUUAUAUUAUUUGCGACCAAGUUCUAUUGAAGACUUUACAAAUUAUUACUUCUUAAUCGAAUCAUUUCUUCUAAAGCUUCAAUGUUACAUGGGGUUUUACCUGUCAAAUUUGAACACAGCAAACAGUCGAGAGCCCAGAUAAAUUACUGCAUGAACUACUGUACAUCCAGAGAACGUAUAUUUAUAA
This is a long non-coding RNA of Bactrocera neohumeralis, 420 nucleotides long. RefSeq lists it as uncharacterized. The transcript is spliced from 2 exons. The record is from RefSeq and is a predicted model, not a curated record. NCBI's taxonomy places the organism in Eukaryota, Metazoa, Arthropoda, Insecta, Diptera, Tephritidae.